RNAcentral lists this ribosomal RNA (499 nucleotides) under uncultured bacterium. RNAcentral's name for it is "bacterial SSU rRNA". It matches the Rfam family "Bacterial small subunit ribosomal RNA", at positions 30 to 526 of the family's 1533-position model. The record is from RNAcentral.
AUUGAACGCUGGCGGAAUGCUUUACACAUGCAAGUCGAACGGUAGAGGGGGCAACCCCUUGAGAGUGGCGAACGGGUGAGUAAUAUAUCGGAACGUGCCCAGUCGUGGGGAUAACGUAGCGAAAGUUACGCUAAUACCGCAUACGAUCUAAGGAUGAAAGCGGGGGAUCGCAAGACCUCGCGCGAUUGGAGCGGCCGAUAUCAGAUUAGGUAGUUGGUGAGGUAAAGGCUCACCAAGCCAACGAUCUGUAGCUGGUCUGAGAGGACGACCAGCCACACUGGAACUGAGACACGGUCCAGACUCCUACGGGAGGCAGCAGUGGGGAAUUUUGGACAAUGGACGCAAGUCUGAUCCAGCCAUUCCGCGUGCAGGAUGAAGGCCCUCGGGUUGUAAACUGCUUUUGUACGGAACGAAAAGGUUUCUAUUAAUACUAGGAGCUCAUGACGGUACCGUAAGAAUAAGCACCGGCUAACUACGUAGCCAGCAGCCGCGGUAAAGU